GAUGAACGCUGGCGGCGUGCCUAAUACAUGCAAGUCGAGCGGAUCUCUUCGGAGAUCAGCGGCGGACGGGUGAGUAACACGUGGGCAACCUGCCUGUAAGACUGGGAUAACUCCGGGAAACCGGAGCUAAUACCGGAUACUAUGUCAAACCGCAUGGUUUGACAUUCAAAGACGGUUUCGGCUGUCACUUACAGAUGGGCCCGCGGCGCAUUAGCUAGUUGGUGAGGUAACGGCUCACCAAGGCGACGAUGCGUAGCCGACCUGAGAGGGUGAUCGGCCACACUGGGACUGAGACACGGCCCAGACUCCUACGGGAGGCAGCAGUAGGGAAUCUUCCGCAAUGGACGAAAGUCUGACGGAGCAACGCCGCGUGAGUGAUGAAGGUUUUCGGAUCGUAAAACUCUGUUGUCAGGGAAGAACAAGUGCCGGAGUAACUGCCGGCGCCUUGACGGUACCUGACCAGAAAGCCACGGCUAACUACGUGCCAGCCGCCGCGGUAA
Molecule: ribosomal RNA, 500 nt
Filed under: uncultured bacterium
Lineage: Bacteria
Description: partial 16S ribosomal RNA
Rfam family: Bacterial small subunit ribosomal RNA
Source: RNAcentral